Long non-coding RNA from Daphnia carinata, 517 nucleotides. RefSeq lists it as uncharacterized. The transcript has 2 exons. The record is from RefSeq and is a predicted model, not a curated record. Lineage: Eukaryota; Metazoa; Arthropoda; Branchiopoda; Diplostraca; Daphniidae.
UUGAUGAAGUGCUGGAAACUAAAAUUAAUUUUCUUUACAAUUUGGUUUCAGGCUAUCUUUAUAAUUUUUUAUUAGUUUUGCGUUUGUUUAGAGUCCGCAAGCUCGUAGCUGAUUUCCUCCUUUAGAUACCGCCUGUCGACGGUUUGACAGCCUCACACAAUUGAACGUAUGCCAAAAAGCCAAAGUGAGCUCUUCCGAUCAGAAAAGUGACGGCGUAUCCAUUUAAUUGAAAAUAGGCACAAGAUAACGCACAAUUGGCGUUCUUGCCUCAAUGGAGAAAUUUUUCCGUGGAACUUAUGACCGAAAUACCAUUGCAGCUGUUCAAAAAAAAAAGAAAAGUGUAUUAUCAUGCAGAUGUUGACUAGCUAACAAUCCAGAGAUACGUCAACUUGCGAAAUUUCUAGAUGUGUGUGAAGCGCAAUCAGCAUCCUUGUUGAACUGUGAACCCAAAUCAUGUAUUUUCCUAGAAAUAUCUAGGUUUUUGGAUAAAUAAAUAAAAGUCAGUGAAAAAAUGUGA